This is a non-coding RNA of Xyrichtys novacula (pearly razorfish), 1285 nucleotides long. The record is from the annotation of a GenBank genome assembly. NCBI's taxonomy places the organism in Eukaryota, Metazoa, Chordata, Actinopteri, Labriformes, Labridae.
GGUUAGGGUUGGGCUUGGAGCUAGGAUUUUUCUGAGUGCACUGAACCAACUCCCGAGUCUCUAGGACAUUCCUAAAAAAAUUUGAUUUUUUCCCAUAGGAAUGCAUGGGUUAGGGUUAGGGUUAGGGUUGGAGCUAGGGUUAGGGUUAGGGUUAGGGUUGGAGUUAGGGUUAGUGUUGGAGCUAGGGUUAGGGUUGGGCUUGGAGCUAGGAUUUUUCUGAGUGCAAUGAACCAACUCCCGAGUCUCUAGGACGUUCCUAAAAAAAUUUGAUUUUUUCCCAUAGGAAUGCAUGGUUUAGGGUUAGGGUUAGGGUUGGAGCUAGGGUUAGGGUUAGGGUUAGGGUUGGAGUUAGGGUUAGUGUUGCAGCUAGGGUUAGGGUUGGGCUUGGAGCUAGGAUUUUUCUGAGUGCACUGAACCAACUCCCGAGUCUCUAGGACAUUCCUAAAAAAUUUGAUUUUUUCCCAUAGGAAUGCAUGGUUUAGGGUUAUGGUUAGGGUUAGGGUUGGAGCUAGGGUUAGGGUUAGGGUUAGGGUUGGAGUUAGGGUUAGUGUUGGAGCUAGGGUUAGGGUUGGGCUUGGAGCUAGGACUUUUCUGAGUGCAAUGAACCAACUCCCGAGUCUCUAGGAUGUUCCCUAAAAAAAUUUGAUUUUUUCCCAUAGGAAUGCAUGGGUUAGGGUUAGGGUUAGGGUUGGAGCUAGGGUUAGGGUUAGGGUUAGGGUUGGAGUUAGGGUUAGUGUUGGAGCUAGGGUUAGGGUUGGGCUUGGAGCUAGGAUUUUUCUGAGUGCACUGAACCAACUCCCGAGUCUCUAGGACAUUCCUAAAAAAAUUUGAUUUUUUCCCAUAGGAAUGCAUGGGUUAGGGUUAGGGUUAGGGUUGGAGCUAGGGUUAGGGUUAGGGUUGGAGUUAGGGUUAGUGUUGGAGCUAGGGUUAGGGUUGGGCUUGGAGCUAGGAUUUUUCUGAGUGCACUGAACCAACUCCCGAGUCUCUAGGACAUUCCUAAAAAAAAUUGAUUUUUUUCCCAUAGGAAUGCAUGGGUUAGGGUUAUGGUUAGGGUUAGGGUUGGAGCUAGGGUUAGGGUUAGGGUUAGGGUUGGAGUUAGGGUUAGUGUUGGAGCUAGGGUUAGGGUUGGGCUUGGAGCUAGGAUUUUUCUGAGUGCAAUGAACCAACUCCCGAGUCUCUUGGACGUUCCUAAAAAAAUUUGAUCUUUUCCCAUAGGAAUGCAUGGGUUAGGGUUAGGGUUAGGGUUGGAGCUAGGGUUAGGGUUAGGGUUAGGGUUGGAGUUAGG